Molecule: long non-coding RNA, 369 nt
Organism: Oncorhynchus tshawytscha (Chinook salmon)
Lineage: Eukaryota; Metazoa; Chordata; Actinopteri; Salmoniformes; Salmonidae
Source: Ensembl
GAGAGAGAGAUUAAAAGUAGUUGGUUAAAGUGUAUGUAAACUUCCGACUUCAACUGUAUAUACAGGGUCAGUAGAUACAGUAUGUAUAGGGGUCAGGGGACUAUAUACAGGGUCAGUAGAUACAGUAUGUAUAGGGGUCAGGGGACUAUAUACAGGGUCAGUAGAUACAGUAUGUAUAGGGGUCAGGGGACUAUAUACAGGGUCAGUAGAUACAGUAUGUAUAGGGGUCAGGUGACUAUAUACAGGGUCAGUAGAUACAGUAUGUAUAUAGGGGUCAGGGGACUAUAUACAGGGUCAGUAGAUACAGUAUGUGUAGGCGUCAGGUGACUAUAUACAGGGUCAGUAGAUACAGUAUGUAUAGGGGUCAGG